GAUGAACGCUGGCGGCGUGCCUAAUACAUGCAAGUCGAGCGAACGGACGAGAAGCUUGCUUCUCUGAUGUUAGCGGCGGACGGGUGAGUAACACGUGGAUAACCUACCUAUAAGACUGGGAUAACUUCGGGAAACCGGAGCUAAUACCGGAUAAUAUUUUGAACCGCAUGGUUCAAAAGUGAAAGACGGUCUUGCUGUCACUUAUAGAUGGAUCCGCGCUGCAUUAGCUAGUUGGUAAGGUAACGGCUUACCAAGGCAACGAUGCAUAGCCGACCUGAGAGGGUGAUCGGCCACACUGGAACUGAGACACGGUCCAGACUCCUACGGGAGGCAGCAGUAGGGAAUCUUCCGCAAUGGGCGAAAGCCUGACGGAGCAACGCCGCGUGAGUGAUGAAGGUCUUCGGAUCGUAAAACUCUGUUAUUAGGGAAGAACAUAUGUGUAAGUAACUGUGCACAUCUUGACGGUACCUAAUCAGAAAGCCACGGCUAACUACGUGCCAGCAGCCGCGGUAAUACGUAGGUGGCAAGCGUUAUCCGGAAUUAUUGGGCGUAAAGCGCGCGUAGGCGGUUUUUUAAGUCUGAUGUGAAAGCCCACGGCUCAACCGUGGAGGGUCAUUGGAAACUGGAAAACUUGAGUGCAGAAGAGGAAAGUGGAAUCCCAUGUGUAGCGGUGAAAUGCGCAGAGAUAUGGAGGAACACCAGUGGCGAAGGCGACUUUCUGGUCUGUAACUGACGCUGAUGUGCGAAAGCGUGGGGAUCAAACAGGAUUAGAUACCCUGGUAGUCCACGCCGUAAACGAUGAGUGCUAAGUGUUAGGGGGUUUCCGCCCCUUAGUGCUGCAGCUAACGCAUUAAGCACUCCGCCUGGGGAGUACGACCGCAAGGUUGAAACUCAAAGGAAUUGACGGGGACCCGCACAAGCGGUGGAGCAUGUGGUUUAAUUCGAAGCAACGCGAAGAACCUUACCAAAUCUUGACAUCCUUUGACAACUCUAGAGAUAGAGCUUUCCCCUUCGGGGGACAAAGUGACAGGUGGUGCAUGGUUGUCGUCAGCUCGUGUCGUGAGAUGUUGGGUUAAGUCCCGCAACGAGCGCAACCCUUAAGCUUAGUUGCCAUCAUUAAGUUGGGCACUCUAAGUUGACUGCCGGUGACAAACCGGAGGAAGGUGGGGAUGACGUCAAAUCAUCAUGCCCCUUAUGAUUUGGGCUACACACGUGCUACAAUGGACAAUACAAAGGGCAGCGAAACCGCGAGGUCAAGCAAAUCCCAUAAAGUUGUUCUCAGUUCGGAUUGUAGUCUGCCACUCGACUACAUGAAACUGGGAUCGCCUGUAAUCGUAGAUCACCCUGCUACGGUGAAUACUUUCCCGGGUCU
RNAcentral lists this ribosomal RNA (1372 nucleotides) under uncultured bacterium. RNAcentral's name for it is "bacterial SSU rRNA". It matches the Rfam family "Bacterial small subunit ribosomal RNA", at positions 28 to 1381 of the family's 1533-position model. The record is from RNAcentral.